RNAcentral lists this long non-coding RNA (817 nucleotides) under Ricinus communis (castor bean). RNAcentral's name for it is "long non-coding RNA (RCOM_LNC002356)". The record is from RNAcentral. Lineage: Eukaryota; Viridiplantae; Streptophyta; Magnoliopsida; Malpighiales; Euphorbiaceae.
UUUUUUCCAACUAAAUUAGACAUCGGGCCGAGCCGGACUUAAAUUUUUAUAUAAAUCCCAAGCUCGAAGAGUGCGGGCUUGAGCGGGCCGGGCGAGUACCCAGGGUCAUGAAUAGGUCUAAUAUAAAUCAAGAGGAUAGUCAAAAGACCCAACUUACAAUGGAAAUAAAAAAAUUUAAAUAAAAUGGUGCAUCACCCAUUAAAUUCAAGAAAUUAAAUUUAAAGCCUAAGAAAAUUUGGCCGACAAUUCUAUAACAACACCACCCAACAAAAUGGAGCAGAGACUUCAACUAAACUCAUUAGAAGCAAAAUGAUACAUCGACAUUGUUGGAUCAAAAUCCAACUCAUUUGAUUUGCAAGGUGCUCACAGUAAAGCUCAAGAAAUAAAAGCUUAAGGUAUAAUAAAGCAGACUGUCAUUGUCUAUCUAUGGCCCUGCGACCUAUAAGCUUCCAUUAAUGAUGGUAGACAUAAGCAAAAAUAGGAGAUAUGAACUCGAGCAUAUAAUCGUUUCGAGUCUUUUCAAACAAAGCCAUCAACUCUUUCUCUCCAUUUGACUUUCGUUUGUUGAUGGGAAUCCACAGGUCUAAAGCUGGUGAUAUCGCGGUACUGAGAUUUAACUAAACAAAGACCACCGCAAUGGAAUCUUGCACCAAAAUCACAAAAUAAGAGGAGUUAGCUUUUGGUGGCUAAAGCCCUAUAAGCCACCUCUCUGGAAACCCUAAGUCUUGGUACAGGCACAAAAGUCCUGUAAUGGUUUAUUAAUUUAGAUUGUUUAAUAUUAAUAUGUUGUCAUUAGUUUGAUUGUUUUUGAAUUUAC